UGAGUAACGCGUGGGAACGUGCCCUUCUCUACGGAAUAGUCCCGGGAAACUGGGUUUAAUACCGUAUACGCCCUUCGGGGGAAAGAAUCUCGGAGAAGGAUCGGCCCGCGUUGGAUUAGGUAGUUGGUGGGGUAAAAGCCUACCAAGCCGACGAUCCAUAGCUGGUUUGAGAGGAUGAUCAGCCACACUGGGACUGAGACACGGCCCAGACUCCUACGGGAGGCAGCAGUGGGGAAUCUUAGACAAUGGGGGAAACCCUGAUCUAGCCAUGCCGCGUGAGUGACGAAGGCCCUAGGGUCGUAAAGCUCUUUCGCCAGGGAUGAUAAUGACAGUACCUGGUAAAGAAACCCCGGCUAACUCCGUGCCAGCAGCCGCGGUAAUACGGAGGGGGUUAGCGUUGUUCGGAAUUACUGGGCGUAAAGCGCGCGUAGGCGGACUAUUAAGUCAGGGGUGAAAUCCCGGGGCUCAACCCCGGAACUGCCCUUGAUACUGGUAGUCUUGAGUUCGAGAGAGGUGAGUGGAAUUCCGAGUGUAGAGGUGAAAUU
This 545-nucleotide ribosomal RNA is filed under the name proteobacterium MS-F-81. RNAcentral's name for it is "bacterial SSU rRNA". It matches the Rfam family "Bacterial small subunit ribosomal RNA", at positions 107 to 688 of the family's 1533-position model. Lineage: Bacteria; Pseudomonadati; Pseudomonadota. The record is from RNAcentral.